This is a long non-coding RNA of Vigna radiata var. radiata (mung bean), 442 nucleotides long. RefSeq lists it as uncharacterized. The transcript has 3 exons. Lineage: Eukaryota; Viridiplantae; Streptophyta; Magnoliopsida; Fabales; Fabaceae. The record is from RefSeq and is a predicted model, not a curated record.
CUUAGCCUUAGGGAAAGGCUUUUUUCUGAAAAUCAGAUUCUUCAUUUAGCCAUUUUCUUUUCUCUCUCUAGAAAACCCUUUCUCCUAAUUUUUGUGCCUUCUCUCUAAAAUCCCAAAUCAUUACACCGAUCAAAUUUUGAUUUGAAGGUGUUUCCGCGCUCACUACACCAAGGGCUUCAAUUUGAACCCAACGUUUUUCUAUUCCGACCAGUUCUGUAAGCUCAACGCUGAGUGGGUUCCUGUAAGGGCGUUUUCAAUUAGCUGCUCUUUGAGAAAACCAGAUGGCGAGAAGGCUACUUUGGAAACAACUCUUGAUGGGGAUGACAGUGCUGCAGUCUUGUCUACUAGGCUUCACUUGAUUAGCCUUUUAUUUUGAAGAACUUAUCAUGUUCUAAGUUUUAAUUUCAUGUAUUUUCAGAGAGAAACUUUAGUACUCCACUUC